This is a long non-coding RNA of Haplochromis burtoni (Burton's mouthbrooder), 1790 nucleotides long. RefSeq lists it as uncharacterized. The transcript has 2 exons. Lineage: Eukaryota; Metazoa; Chordata; Actinopteri; Cichliformes; Cichlidae. The record is from RefSeq and is a predicted model, not a curated record.
CGCCGUGUUUCUGAGUAUUCUACUGACCAUUCACAGAUGCCGAGUAAGGAUUCUUGAACAUGAUGAAAAAGAGGUGAUGCUCAAGAAUCCAGAUGUGUAAACACCACAAGGAACAGCUUUGAUAGAAAACCACACAACUCCAGAGGGGCAAGAACUUCGGAUCAAGUAAGAUCAGGAAGUGGAGCUUCUGAAAUAUCUGGAGGAAGCAGGGGAGCAGCUGAAGAAGCUACACAUUUCAAUGACAGGAAAACAGGCUUUGAGAAAGAGUUUCUGUGAAUGCAGUGACUGUCAUUGUCAAUAUCCCUGAACAAAGCACCUGUGCCUAAACAGUCUUCAGCAUGGCUUUAGUCUCUCUGUAUGUAUUUCUAAAUGGCAAUAACUCAACUCAGUUCAUCUGUGCAAAUUGGUUGUUACAUUGCUUACUGUGUUAGAUGACCUGUAGUAUCUGAAGUUUCAUGUGAUGAGGUCAUGUAAUCACUUUUAUUGCAUUAUAGAGAGUGGAUAUCAUCAAUAUUUUCAUCUGAGACAUGCAGUUCUGACCAUGAGCACAAAAGGUCCCCUUACCAUUCAAAUCUUCUGUUUAUGAGGGAAACCAGUCAGUCAGACAAAAGUUGGCUUAUAGGGAGAGAAGCCAAGAAAAGACAGAAGAUGAACUGAAAAGUCAAACUGAGGCUUAAAAACAAAGAUAAAUAAGUAUUAUUUUGAACUGUGAACCAUCCGAAGCUGCUUUGGAGUCCAAGAAUAAAACAUAUUGUCUUGGAAACAAGGAGAAUAUGCUCCAUUUCCCAUUCCAGUGCAUUAUUGUAACUUUGUAACUACUUUUCUGGUUGUAGACGCACCAUUUCAGGAAAAACAGCUACUUUGGGUCUCACCCAAAGUCACAGACUAACAAUCCUAGUGUAGCUAAUUUGCUUUAAAAUGGCCAAUCAGGAGCGAUGAGCCUCAGGAUUGGACCAUGUCCAUGGGCAUAAUAUAGGAAGUAAAAUUAAAAUCACUGUAGAAACCUCAAAAGACCCAAAAUGUUUUAACUUCAUCUAGGCAACCAAAGAAGGGCUUCUUACCUCUAACCUACAGUUGAUGACUGUCACUUUCAUCAGCUGUUAAUUUUGCACUGAGUCUAAUAAUCUGUGAUAGCUACAAUGCUAAAUCAGAAGCAGCACUUUUCUGUGAGGCACCAUUCAUAAAGGUCUUGAAUUAGAAAGAGAUUUUAUAAUGAAUUUAAGUGCCAUGCAUGGCAGAGUCGAUCAGAUUAAUAAGAGCUAAACAACAUAGUUUUAAGGUCUAAACAGGCUAUAUUUAUAUACAGUCCAAAUCAAGAAAACUUUAUUUGCAAAUGAGGCAGCACAUCUGUACAAUAUAUAAUCUGUAGAUAAAUAAUAAGUUAACAGCUUUAUUUAUUUUGGUUCUCUUUGUAUUGACCUAUUCUUAAUUGUUGUGACAGUCUUCCUUUUUAACUGUAUGCACCUCUGUUUCUCUCCUUUGAUAUCAAAUUAAUGUAUUUCUAUUGAAAAAUAAUACUUGUUAAUACAAUCUUUGUAAAUAAUACAUUCUUUCUCAUUUUUCUUAAAUAUAAGCCUAUUUAUUUACUGUGCAUGUAUCUUGUAACUCCAGCAGGUGCAGCUAUGUUACAGCUGUGCUACUUAGUGGUGCAAUGAGCAGCUCAGCUUCAACUGAAACUGCUCUCUUAUUUUAUUCUGAGAGAGGACGAGUUGCAACAUGUCUCUUGUCAUCUUGUUAUUCCAGUUUCGUUUUUUCUUGGAAUAAAUACAGUUUGGUCUACCACAUGCUAA